This 253-nucleotide ribosomal RNA is filed under the name uncultured bacterium. RNAcentral's name for it is "partial 16S ribosomal RNA". It matches the Rfam family "Bacterial small subunit ribosomal RNA", at positions 524 to 776 of the family's 1533-position model. The record is from RNAcentral.
UACGUAGGGUGCGAGCGUUAAUCGGAAUUACUGGGCGUAAAGCGUGCGCAGGCGGCGCCGCAAGUCAGGCGUGAAAUCCCCGAGCUUAACUUGGGAAUGGCGCUUGAAACUACGGUGCUGGAGUGUGGCAGAGGGAGGUGGAAUUCCAGGUGUAGCGGUGAAAUGCGUAGAGAUCUGGAGGAACACCGAUGGCGAAGGCAGCCUUCUGGGCCAACACUGACGCUCAUGCACGAAAGCGUGGGGAGCAAACAGG